GAAAAGAAAUCAACCGAGAUUCCCCCAGUAGCGGCGAGCGAACGGGGAGCAGCCCAGAGCCUGAAUCAGUGUGUGUGUUAGUGGAAGCGUCUGGAAAGGCGCGCGAUACAGGGUGACAGCCCCGUACACAAAAAUGCACAUGCUGUGAGCUCGAUGAGUAGGGCGGGACACGUGGUAUCCUGUCUGAAUAUGGGGGGACCAUCCUCCAAGGCUAAAUACUCCUGACUGACCGAUAGUGAACCAGUACCGUGAGGGAAAGGCGAAAAGAACCCCGGCGAGGGGAGUGAAAAAGAACCUGAAACCGUGUACGUACAAGCAGUGGGAGCACAGAGCAAUCUGUGUGACUGCGUACCUUUUGUAUAAUGGGUCAGCGACUUAUAUUCUGUAGCAAGGUUAACCGAAUAGGGGAGCCGAAGGGAAACCGAGUCUUAACUGGGCGUUAAGUUGCAGGGUAUAGACCCGAAACCCGGUGAUCUAGCCAUGGGCAGGUUGAAGGUUGGGUAACACUAACUGGAGGACCGAACCGACUAAUGUUGAAAAAUUAGCGGAUGACUUGUGGCUGGGGGUGAAAGGCCAAUCAAACCGGGAGAUAGCUGGUUCUCCCCGAAAGCUAUUUAGGUAGCGCCUCGUGAAUUCAUCUCCGGGGGUAGAGCACUGUUUCGGCAAGGGGGUCAUCCCGACUUACCAACCCGAUGCAAACUGCGAAUACCGGAGAAUGUUAUCACGGGAGACACACGGCGGGUGCUAACGUCCGUCGUGAAGAGGGAAACAACCCAGACCGCCAGCUAAGGUCCCAAAGUCAUGGUUAAGUGGGAAACGAUGUGGGAAGGCCCAGACAGCCAGGAUGUUGGCUUAGAAGCAGCCAUCAUUUAAAGAAAGCGUAAUAGCUCACUGGUCGAGUCGGCCUGCGCGGAAGAUGUAACGGGGCUAAACCAUGCACCGAAGCUGCGGCAGCGACGCUGAUGCGUUGUUGGGUAGGGGAGCGUUCUGUAAGCCUGCGAAGGUGUGCUGUGAGGCAUGCUGGAGGUAUCAGAAGUGCGAAUGCUGACAUAAGUAACGAUAAAGCGGGUGAAAAGCCCGCUCGCCGGAAGACCAAGGGUUCCUGUCCAACGUUAAUCGGGGCAGGGUGAGUCGACCCCUAAGGCGAGGCCGAA
RNAcentral lists this ribosomal RNA (1154 nucleotides) under Escherichia coli. Its description in RNAcentral is "partial 23S ribosomal RNA". It matches the Rfam family "Bacterial large subunit ribosomal RNA", at positions 216 to 1406 of the family's 2925-position model. The record is from RNAcentral. Lineage: Bacteria; Pseudomonadati; Pseudomonadota; Gammaproteobacteria; Enterobacterales; Enterobacteriaceae.